GCAUGUGUUAGGUGAUAACAAAAGGUUUGCAGCUGGAUUUAGAGUCUAAUUGGGCUUCUGUUCUCUAAAAUUAUUUAAAUAAAAAUCUAUCGAGUUGGUUAUGCGUGAAAUAGUAAAAUAAAUAAAAAACUACACAUUGCACAUAUUAUAAGGUAGUAUACUAAAAUAUACUCAUUAGUGUGAUAAGCUGGUUCCAUUAAGACCAACUAUAUGAAUCUU
This 219-nucleotide long non-coding RNA is filed under the name Elaeis guineensis (African oil palm). Its description in RNAcentral is "long non-coding RNA (EGUI_LNC079278)". Lineage: Eukaryota; Viridiplantae; Streptophyta; Magnoliopsida; Arecales; Arecaceae. The record is from RNAcentral.